CUUUAAAGAAGUUGGGGAUGGUGGAGAUGGUGGGGAUGGUGGAGAUAGUGGGGGUGGGUCAUUACAGAUAUUUUCUCAAGUUCUGCUCUCUCGAUUGAAAUAUGGUCGUUGCUAUCAAAAAGUAGUGACCCUUCUUCUUCUAGCGCGUCAAAAAGGCAGUGAACUCAUCGGCGUCGCCAUGAUAUUCACUGACAAAAGGGACGAGAGCGGAGAUACAAAGAUCUGACGGCUGCGGUUGCGGAAAUCGUUGGCGGCUAGGGCAUUGCUGUGAAAGAGAGGCAGUAAGCAGUGAAUCGCUGCAACAAGACGGGAAAUUAGGGUUUGUUCGCCGCCGGCGUCGGAGAUGAAGUGGAUUGUGCGGCUGUUGAGGGCACCGACUAUAAGUGCAAGCCCGAUGGAUUCCCAGGUCAGUCCCUCCCACUAGAGACUCGGCGACCAAAAGUUGAUUACUUGAUGCUCUGUGACGGAGAAAGUUGGAAGUUGAUCAUAACCACAGCGUUAAGAUUGAGAGGACAAAUGCUCCGAUUACAAACAUAAACAGAUCAACUAAUGGGCCAUUAAUGUCACCAAUGGGUUUUGUAUUGUGUAAAGUUUGCGAGUGGCUUAAACCCCCAUUUCCCGGUUUACUUCCACUUAUAGCACACUAUAUUAUGCUUGGAUGGAUUUUCUGAUUAUAUUUAGGAAAUCAGAUUUACAAAUAAAUAAAGUAUUCUUAUAUUUCAAAA
Brassica napus (rape) is the source of this 725-nucleotide long non-coding RNA. RefSeq lists it as uncharacterized. Lineage: Eukaryota; Viridiplantae; Streptophyta; Magnoliopsida; Brassicales; Brassicaceae. The transcript is spliced from 2 exons. The record is from RefSeq and is a predicted model, not a curated record.